Molecule: ribosomal RNA, 254 nt
Filed under: uncultured bacterium
Lineage: Bacteria
Description: partial 16S ribosomal RNA
Rfam family: Bacterial small subunit ribosomal RNA
Source: RNAcentral
UACGUAGGGGGCAAGCGUUGUCCGGAUUUAUUGGGCGUAAAGAGCUCGUAGGCGGCUCGGUAAGUCGGAUGUGAAACCUCCAGGCUCAACCUGGAGACGCCAUCUGAUACUGCCGUGGCUUGAGUCCGGUAGAGGAGCAGGGAAUUCCUGGUGUAGCGGUGAAAUGCGCAGAUAUCAGGAGGAACACCGGUGGCGAAGGCGAGUCUCUGGGCCGAUACUGACGCUGAGGAGCGAAAGCGUGGGGAGCGAACAGG